Molecule: transfer RNA, 64 nt
Filed under: Phytobia cambii
Lineage: Eukaryota; Metazoa; Arthropoda; Insecta; Diptera; Agromyzidae
Description: tRNA-Tyr
Source: RNAcentral
GAUUAAAUGGCUGAUAAUAGGCGAUAAACUGUAAAUUUAUAUAUAAGAUUUUUCUUUUUAAUCA